CGGAGAGUAGUGUAAUGGCAGCACGAGUCCUUCGGGAGGAUUUAGUUCGGGUUCAAAUCCCGGCUCUCCGA
Non-coding RNA from Candidatus Harrisonbacteria bacterium, 71 nucleotides. The record is from Rfam. Lineage: Bacteria; Candidatus Harrisoniibacteriota.